AGUGAACGCUGGCGGUAGGCCUAACACAUGCAAGUCGAACGGCAGCACAGUAAGAGCUUGCUCUUACGGGUGGCGAGUGGCGGACGGGUGAGGAAUACAUCGGAAUCUACUUUUUCGUGGGGGAUAACGUAGGGAAACUUACGCUAAUAGCGCAUACGACCUACGGGUGAAAGCAGGGGAUAUUCGGACCUUUCGCGAUUGAAUGAGCCGGUGUCGGAUUAGCUAGUUGGCGGGGUAAAGGCCCACCAAGGCGACGAUCCGUAGCUGGUCUGAGAGGAUGAUCAGCCACACUGGAACUGAGACACGGUCCAGACUCCUACGGGAGGCAGCAGUGGGGAAUAUUGGACAAUGGGCGCAAGCCUGACCCAGCCAUACCGCGUGGGUGAAGAAGGCCUUCGGGUUGUAAAGCCCUUUUGUUGGGAAAGAAAAGCAGCAGGUUAAUACCCCGAUGUUCUGACGGUACCCAAAGAAUAAGCACCGGCUAACUUCGUG
Molecule: ribosomal RNA, 492 nt
Filed under: uncultured bacterium
Lineage: Bacteria
Description: partial 16S ribosomal RNA
Rfam family: Bacterial small subunit ribosomal RNA
Source: RNAcentral